This 394-nucleotide ribosomal RNA is filed under the name uncultured bacterium. RNAcentral's name for it is "bacterial SSU rRNA". It matches the Rfam family "Bacterial small subunit ribosomal RNA", at positions 505 to 898 of the family's 1533-position model. The record is from RNAcentral.
GUGUCAGCCGCCGCGGUAAUACGUAGGGGGCAAGCGUUGUCCGGAAUUAUUGGGCGUAAAGCGCGCGCAGGCGGUCAUUUAAGUCUGGUGUUUAAACCUUGGGCUCAACCUGAGGUCGCACUGGAAACUGGGUGACUUGAGUACAGAAGAGGAAAGUGGAAUUCCACGUGUAGCGGUGAAAUGCGUAGAUAUGUGGAGGAACACCAGUGGCGAAGGCGACUUUCUGGGCUGUAACUGACGCUGAGGCGCGAAAGCGUGGGGAGCAAACAGGAUUAGAUACCCUGGUAGUCCACGCCGUAAACGAUGAGUGCUAGGUGUUAGGGGUUUCGAUACCCUUGGUGCCGAAGUUAACACAGUAAGCACUCCGCCUGGGGAGUACGGUCGCAAGACUGAA